UCAGGCCUAACACAUGCAAGUCGAGCGCUCACCUUCGGGUGGGAGCGGCGCACGGGUGAGUAACACGUGGGAACCUACCUUGAAGUACGGAAUAACUGAGGGAAACUUCAGCUAAUACCGUAUACGCCCUACGGGGGAAAGAUUUAUCGCUUCAAGACGGGCCCGCGUUGGAUUAGCUAGUUGGUGAGGUAAUGGCUCACCAAGGCAACGAUCCAUAGCUGAUUUGAGAGAAUGAUCAGCCACACUGGGACUGAGACACGGCCCAGACUCCUACGGGAGGCAGCAGUGGGGAAUAUUGGAGGAUGGGCGCAAGCCUGAUCCAGCCA
RNAcentral lists this ribosomal RNA (326 nucleotides) under uncultured bacterium. RNAcentral's name for it is "bacterial SSU rRNA". It matches the Rfam family "Bacterial small subunit ribosomal RNA", at positions 43 to 394 of the family's 1533-position model. The record is from RNAcentral.